This is an RNA transcript of Tarenaya hassleriana, 2774 nucleotides long. It is a transcript of the gene named two-component response regulator-like APRR1, with no coding region annotated. The record is from RefSeq and is a predicted model, not a curated record. NCBI's taxonomy places the organism in Eukaryota, Viridiplantae, Streptophyta, Magnoliopsida, Brassicales, Cleomaceae. The transcript has 7 exons.
GGCAACGGGGAGAGAGCGAGAGAGCCAAAAGUCCCUCUCUUGAAUUUUCUCAAUCCUCUUGUCGGAAUUCCUCCUCCUCUCGCCGCCGACGUUGUCUAUCCUUCGCAGCAACUACGGAGAUUCUUCUGUCGCUUUCGGCUUCUCUGGCUAAUAUUCUCCGACUUCCGCAUCCCGAAAAAAAGUUCACUUUUUGUAUUUCCUUUUUUUUCUUCGUUUGUUCGUUCUUAGAUUUUACUGUGCCGUCUCAUGGCUAGAGGAUAAGGUGGGGCGAUGAGGAGAAUCAGUGUAUCGUUUGUCAAAUUGAGUAAAUUUGUAGCGAUCCGGAUAGUAUCGAAACCCUAGCUCUGAUUUGUGUUCUGAUUCGCCAUGGAAGUGCGCUAGUACUUACUAAUUUGCGGUUCACGUGCUACGAUUUGUAUUUUUUUGAUCGGGGAGAUCGAUUUAUGUGAUUAGAUUAUUGGGGGGUGGGGGAUUUCUGGGUUUUUCUGGAAUUUUGGUGAUGGAUUUGAAUAGCGAGUGCAACGGUGGGGAUGGGUUCAUCGAUAGGAGCAAAGUCAGGAUUCUGCUUUGCGACAACGAUUCGAAGAGCUUGAAAGAGGGUUUCACUCUCCUCACUGAAUGUUCUUAUCAGGUCACUUCAGUGAGGUCAGCCAGGCAAGUGAUUGAUGCUCUCAAUGCUGAGAGGGCUGAUAUCGAUAUAAUACUGGCCGAAGUCGAUCUUCCAAUGUCCAAGGGUAUGAAGAUGUUGAAGUACAUUACACGGGACAAAGAUCUUCGCAGGAUUCCUGUGAUCAUGAUGUCGAGGCAAGACAAGGUUUCUGUUGUGGUCAAGUGCUUAAAGCUAGGGGCAGCAGACUACCUUGUGAAGCCUCUUCGAACCAAUGAGCUUCUGAACUUGUGGACACACAUGUGGAGAAGAAGACGCAUGCUUGGACUCUCUGAGAAGAAUAUCUUGAGCUAUGAUUUCGAUCUUGUGGGAUCUGAUCCAAGUGAUGCAAACACAAAUAGUACAAACCUGUUCUCUGACGACACAGAUGACAAGAGUCUUAGGUGCACCAAUCUGCAGACUUUAACUUCGAAGAAUCCGGAAAAUGAGUGCUCUAUUGCUGCUAUCUCUGCUAGUGAUCAUGCUGGUGAUGGCUGUGGUGCUGCUGAUGGAACAGUCACUUCUCCUCCCGCUGUUGCAGCUAUGGAGCCUCCAUCUACUCAUCCGGCUGGGUCUCACCCCUAUGAGCCAGCGGAAAGAGAUACCAAUGAAGGACAAUUUUCUUUUGGUCCGAAGAAAAGUAAAUUGAAGAUUGGCGAGUCUUCUGCUUUCUUCACAUAUGUCAAGUCCACUGUCUUGAAAGCUAACUGCCAGGAUUGUUCCCAAGUCAAUGAGUAUGGCUCAAACCAUCAUUGUGUAGAAGAGAAGAAGCUACGAGCUGCCGAUGAAAGUACUACAAACACCAAUCAAACAUGCAGCAGUAGAGAGACUCAAGAAAACUAUUCACAAGGAGAUGACUUUCACAGUGGCACCAGCUUUCUGGAUUCCCUGGAGCGCUCUUGCACGCCUCCCAUGUCGAUGGAGUUCCGCAACAGGAGUUACGGAGAAGGAAAAAGGAAUGCAUCUCGAGGUCCAAUGGAAACAGGUAAGGAAUCAUCUCAAGACGGUGUUUCUGGUUUCUCCGGACAAACCCAUUAUCCAUAUUAUAUGCAUGGGGUCGUGAACCAUGCUAUGAUGCAACCAGCUGCCCAUCAUGUUCAUGCCUCAUCAGGAAUGCAGGCUCAAUAUGGUCAUCAACUUCCACUGCAUUGCCCUCCCAAUCAUCCGAAUGGAAUGAGUAGAUUCCCUUAUUACCACCCAAUGGGCGUGUCAUUACAGCACGGUCAGAUGUCAUUACAGCAUGGGCAGAUGCCUGUGGUUCAUCACCCCUGGCCAACAGAAGGAAAUGUGUCUUCGAACGAGGUGAAGCUGAAUAAAGUUGACAGAAGAGAAGAAGCACUAAUCAAAUUCAGGCGGAAAAGGAAUCAACGGUGCUUUGAUAAGAAGAUUCGAUAUGUGAAUAGGAAACGUCUUGCCGAGAGGAGACCGCGUGUAAGGGGUCAGUUUGUAAGGAAAGUGAAUGGGGUGAAUGUUGAUCUUAACGGGCAGCCUGCCUCUGCCGAGUAUGAUGAUGAGGAUGAGGACGAGGAAGAAGAGGAGGGUCGAGAUUUAUCUCCCCAGGACAAGCCCUUGGAAACUUAAACAUCAUGCUUCAGUAAAGAAGGAAUGAUGCUCCUGUCAGAAAUGUGUGCUAUCUUUGUUCAAGCUUGGGCACUGAACGAACCAUCCAGAAAUCCUGUGGUCUGGUCCUCACAUAGAUCUGGCUCGAUGGUGUGACAUGGCCCGGGACCAGAUUGGUUCAUGUGUUCCAGUUUCAUAUCUGUAGUGUUCAGGGUUAUGUAUGGUUGAGGCUUUCGCUCUGAGUUUCCUGAAAGCUUCAAAUCUCUUCUCGAAGGAGAAGGUCCCAAUUCUAUUACAUUGUCCGGACAGAUGACAUGGUGAUGCAACAUGAACGAUCCACACGAGUUUUGUUCUUAUCCUCCUGGUGGUGAAACCCUGCCACUUCUGCUUAGGAAGAGAAACCAAUGCAUGACGCUGAAGAACGGAUCAUGCAUUUAUUAGGAACUAUGAACAUGAAUCAGCUACUAAAGCAGUCCUUUCAUGAAGAGAGCAAACAAAUAGUUCAUGUUUUCUGUACAAUCUGGCAUUUCCCCAGUCCGUACAAAAGGGUAUAAAUGUUUACUCUGCA